Long non-coding RNA from Mustela lutreola (European mink), 1851 nucleotides. RefSeq lists it as uncharacterized. Lineage: Eukaryota; Metazoa; Chordata; Mammalia; Carnivora; Mustelidae. The transcript has 8 exons. The record is from RefSeq and is a predicted model, not a curated record.
UCUAGCAGCGGACGUGUGUGUGCAGUCUGCCGGCAGUUGUAGGCGAUUUGGAGCUACCACCCCAGCGUUUGUUAAAUGAAGGAAGCUUUGCAUCCCGUAAAGCGCAGACAGCAGCAAGGUGACUGCAGCCAGCCUGGGAGAAUUCUUGCGUUCUCUGGUUGAACCCAGUCUUCCCGAGCACCUUCCUGGCGCCAGACCCUGGGGUGUGACUUGCAUGUGUCUCAUGCAGCCCUCCUGGUACAGCUCGCAGAAAUUGUGAAUUGUGUGGAUUCUCUUUACCUCCUCCAAGUCCUCAUUGGGUCACAUGGUAGACGAUUCCAUGUGUAAGAAUUGCUUCCAGAAGCCCUCAGCAGGCAGCCUGAACACUUCCACUGCUGGCCACCAGAAGAUACUCCUGUCCUCUCUACAGCUGCUGGUAGGGGAGCCCAACAUAGGGCUUGAACUCAUGACCCAGAUCAAGACUGGAGCUGAGAUCAAGACUCAGACGUUUAACUGACUGAGCCAUCCAGGCAUCCCUGAUUUUUCUUCUUUUCUUUCUUUCUUUCUUUCUCACCUUCUUUCUUUCUUUCUCUUUUGUUAUUGAUGGACUAGCUAGUACUUCUGAUUAUAUCAGAUAAGAGACUCUCUGUUAUAAUAUUAGGUGUGUACAUGCACACACACACACACACACACACCCAGUGGGGUAAGCAGGUUGCAACUCAAAUCAUGAAGUAUGAUCCCUUCAUGUUUUUUGUAUGGGGUGUGUGUGUGUGUGUGUGUAUGUGUGUGUGUGUGUGAAAAACCCAUAUUCCUAGGAAAAAAUGGUACUACCCUUGAUAGUUAUAUCUGAGUUAUAGAAUUAUGGGAAGUUUCUUUAUGUAUAUUUUCUAUAAUACAAACAUAUUUCCUUUGAAAUAAGGCAAUAAAAGAAAAUAAUGAUAAUAGAGGAAUAACUCCUAGUUAUCCUUCAAAGUCAGGGUCCAAAAAACCCCAAAAAACAAAAACCAAAAACUCCUCCCUGGGGCGCCUGGGUGACUCAGUCAAAUAAGCAUCUGCAUUUGGCUCAGGUCAUGAUCCCAACGUCCUGGGAUGGAGUCCGGAGUCAGGCUCUCUGCUGCUCCCCCUGCUUGUGAUCUUUCUUGCUCCCUCUCAAAUAAAUACAUAAAAUCUCAAAGACUUCCUUCCUCCCUGAAUUUUCAGGAUCCAUACGAGGCUCACCUUUUCAGGCUCCUGUAGCUCCUCACUUGGACUUCUGGCUGCACACUCCAGUAGUUGUGAUGUUUAGCUUGGCCAACUGUACCUUUCCUUCUCACAUGAGAGCAGGGACCGUGGUUUACGACUACCCAUGAUCCAUCAGGCCGAGCACCCUGCUGUCGUCAUAAAUAUGUGAGAAUGUUAAAAACGACCACCCAGGACUCUCUCAGUAUCUGCUGACUGCCUGGUACACAAACCCCCUGGGCGUGUAGGAGAACAUUUGCGAAGCGUUUUCCAGUUUGCCUCUCCUGUGAGCACACUGGGCUGUGUCCUCAUUGUGUUCAUCACGAUGGCUGAAAACGGAGGGGUCAAUUAGCAGGCAGCGUCACUGCCUCCUGACGGAUCUGCUUCUCCCAACACGAGUGCCAUGGUGAUGGACUGGCAGAAUCUUGAAUGUGCAAAGAAUGUGCAACACCAGGAAGAUGGGAACAACACCGACCAUGGGGUGCAAGGAACUCUUCUUUCUUCCAUUGAAUUACCUUGGAAUCUUUUUUGAAAAUCAAUUGACCUUUAUUUUUCUUGCCUUAUUGCAUUGGUUGAGAAUGCCAGUACAGUGUUAAGUAGAAAUGGUGAGAAUGGACAUCCUUGCCCAUUCCCAGUGGAAUGUGUUUGAUAUUU